GAUGAACGCUAGCGGCAGGCUUAAUACAUGCAAGUCGUGGGGCAGCAGGGGUGUAGCAAUACACUCGCUGGCGACCGGCAAACGGGUGCGGAACACGUACGCAACCUACCCAAAACUGGGGGAUAGCCCGGGGAAACCCGGAUUAAUACCUCGUAACAUAAUGGAGUGGCAUCACUUUAUUAUUAUAGCUCCGGCGGUUUUGGAUGGGCGUGCGCCUGAUUAGGUAGUUGGCGGGGUAACGGCCCACCAAGCCUGCGAUCAGUAACUGGUGUGAGAGCACGACCAGUCACACGGGCACUGAGACACGGGCCCGACUCCUACGGGAGGGCAGCAGUAAGGAAUAUUGGUCAAUGGACGCAAGUCUGAACCAGCCGAUAGUCGCGUGAA
Molecule: ribosomal RNA, 387 nt
Filed under: uncultured bacterium
Lineage: Bacteria
Description: bacterial SSU rRNA
Rfam family: Bacterial small subunit ribosomal RNA
Source: RNAcentral